Molecule: ribosomal RNA, 253 nt
Filed under: uncultured bacterium
Lineage: Bacteria
Description: partial 16S ribosomal RNA
Rfam family: Bacterial small subunit ribosomal RNA
Source: RNAcentral
UACGUAGGGGCCUAGCGUUGUCCGGAAUUACUGGGCGUAAAGAGCUCGUAGGUGGUUUGUCGCGUUGUUCGUGAAAACUCACAGCUUAACUGUGGGCGUGCGGGCGAUACGGGCAGACUGGAGUACUGCAGGGGAGACUGGAAUUCCUGGUGUAGCGGUGGAAUGCGCAGAUAUCAGGAGGAACACCGGUGGCGAAGGCGGGUCUCUGGGCCGAUACUGACGCUGAGGAGCGAAAGCGUGGGGAGCGAACAGG